UAAGUCCUGUCAGGUAAGGUUUAACCAACCACCUGUAUCGAGUGUUGCGCCUUUGGCGGAGUUUGAGAUUAGCCGAUGCUUUUCAGUGAGCGAUCACAAUCAAGCGAACAAUAUAGGUGAAGCGUACACAGAGAAUCAUAUAGGCCAUAGGGAUUGUCGUGGCAUGUUUGAAGAGAUGUAUUGAGAACUUGAGAGAUCC
Molecule: non-coding RNA, 199 nt
Filed under: Moritella yayanosii
Lineage: Bacteria; Pseudomonadati; Pseudomonadota; Gammaproteobacteria; Alteromonadales; Moritellaceae
Source: RNAcentral